Amphimedon queenslandica is the source of this 572-nucleotide long non-coding RNA. RefSeq lists it as uncharacterized. The transcript is spliced from 3 exons. The record is from RefSeq and is a predicted model, not a curated record. NCBI's taxonomy places the organism in Eukaryota, Metazoa, Porifera, Demospongiae, Haplosclerida, Niphatidae.
UAGUGCCACUAAUGUGUAUCCUUCAGCUAGUACUCCUUCCGGUGACAAAUCACUCGCCGAUGGGGUGGGCAUUAAUAAGAGUUUUAAAAUGGAGGAUUUAGGACUCGUCUGGGAGACGGUAGAAUCACUGCAUCACUUCUUAUAUCCAGAUGGUUGUCAGUUGUAUGCUCCUGAGAGGGAGCCAGCCUGUGUUCCUCUUGUCCUUACUAAUAUCCUUGGUACUUGUACUUAUGCAAUGGCUAUCAAGUUCACACGUCCAUUCUUCAUUGAAAAGGUCACAGUCUCAUGGUAGAAGGAGUAGAUCAGGUUCAAGAGAAGUGAUGAUCCCUCCCCUCUACUAGGAGAUCAACCAGUUCAUGAGAAGGUCUCUCUCUCCCUCUCCAUUCCCUCCAGUUAGGUGUAACACUCAUCAGGAUAAGCUGGUCCAGUCAAAUGAGCAGCUAAGAGUUGAUGGGGAGAUAUGGAGGGAGGACAAAGACAAUCAACUGAAUUAUCAUAUAUUGUAUUGGAAAUUUUUAUAAUGAAACGAAACUAGAAAUCCAAAACAUCACAAAUAAUGAUAAUAAUAUGUA